Molecule: long non-coding RNA, 213 nt
Organism: Aegilops tauschii subsp. strangulata
Lineage: Eukaryota; Viridiplantae; Streptophyta; Magnoliopsida; Poales; Poaceae
Source: RefSeq, a predicted model, not a curated record
CACGAAGAUAAUGACAUUCUGUCAGGCAAACAGAUGAGAAAGAGCAGGGAGAAUAUGGAUGGAAAUUUGACUAGAGUACACAAACAAAGCACUCAAGACAAGUCUGUAGUCCAUGUGUCCUCUAAGCAGAAACGUAGUCCUUCCAUGGAGGUUGGCACAAAAGUGAUUCUGAAGUCUUCAAUAUAUCCAAACAAAAGGCACGUGGCACAUGCU